Non-coding RNA from Caenorhabditis elegans, 199 nucleotides. Lineage: Eukaryota; Metazoa; Nematoda; Chromadorea; Rhabditida; Rhabditidae. The record is from Ensembl.
GAAGAAAGAAGACAACAUAGGCUCAAUCGAUAACUGAGAGCUCAUUCGUCCACACCAAGCCAAAACGGCUAUUUGGAAGGCGAUGUGGUGGAGAAAAAAGAGAAGAAAGAGAGAGAGGAGUGUCCCUCCAUUUUCUCUGUGGUAGAAAUGAGACAUAUCCACUUUAUUUUUAUAUAACCAAAUGACUUGGAUGCUACUA